GUUUCGAACUGUGAUAGAAGACCCUAACAAGGUGAUAGAAGACCCUAACAAGGUGAUAGAAGACCCUAACAAGGUGAUAGAAGACCCUAACAAGGUCUUCUAUCACCGGCCAACUGCGCAUUAACGAAAUAUUCAUAUUAUUAACGAUUUAAUGAUACUAUAAGAAAUAUAGUCUGGAUCGGUGCGAAACGUAUUCGCCCAGUAUCAACAACCCUCGACGUGAAGAAGUCACAAAAAAAUCCCAAUGGGUGUGUUUAGCAAAAAAUCUUCGUAAAACCUACGUGAGAAGAACUAAUAUCUACGUCUUUUAACAUAAACUAAUGUUAAACACAGAAAAGUAACACUGAAAAACACCACCGAAUUCACUGUCCUGCUUUAUAGGACGUCCCACGUAACUACGGUUUCCCUUGUGAUACCGCGUGGGCGCGAAUCGCGACACAAAAUGAAAAAAAAAGAAACAAAUUUUGUCGGCACGUAAAAA
Molecule: long non-coding RNA, 481 nt
Organism: Apis mellifera (honey bee)
Lineage: Eukaryota; Metazoa; Arthropoda; Insecta; Hymenoptera; Apidae
Exons: 2
Source: RefSeq, a predicted model, not a curated record